CCUACGGGUGACAGCAGUGGGGAAUAUUGCGCAAUGGGCGAAAGCCUGACGCAGCGACGCCGCGUGAGGGAUGAAGGUCUUCGGAUCGUAAACCUCUGUCAGCAGGGAAGAACGUUCACUUUGCUGAUCAACAGUGAAUUGCCGGUACCUGCAAAGGCAGCGCCGGCUAACUACGUGCCAGCGGCCGCGGUAAUACGUAGGGGGCAAGCGUUAUCCGGAUUUACUGGGGGUAAAGGGGGCGCAGACGGCAAUGCAAGCCAGGAGUGAAAGCCCGGGGCCUAACCCCGGGACUGCUUUUGGAACUGCAGGGCUGGAGUACAGGAGGGGCAGGCGGAAUUCCUAGUGUAGCGGUGAAAUGCGUAGAUAUUAGGAGGAACACCGGUGGCGAAGGCGGCCUGCUGGACUGUGACUGACGUUGAGGCCCGAAGGCGUGGGGAGCAAACAGGAUUAGAUACCCCUGUAGUC
This 465-nucleotide ribosomal RNA is filed under the name uncultured bacterium. RNAcentral's name for it is "partial 16S ribosomal RNA". It matches the Rfam family "Bacterial small subunit ribosomal RNA", at positions 338 to 795 of the family's 1533-position model. The record is from RNAcentral.